Molecule: small nucleolar RNA, 121 nt
Filed under: Nannospalax galili (Upper Galilee mountains blind mole rat)
Lineage: Eukaryota; Metazoa; Chordata; Mammalia; Rodentia; Spalacidae
Description: Small nucleolar RNA SNORA40 (ENSNGAG00000004246.1)
Rfam family: Small nucleolar RNA SNORA40
About the family: The snoRNA ACA 40 belongs to the H/ACA family of snoRNAs and guides the pseudouridylation of 28S rRNA subunit at position U4565. NB This family has a high threshold value to exclude a large number of closely related sequences that do not appear to have conserved H and ACA boxes, and may be pseudogenes.
Source: Rfam by way of RNAcentral
AUGUGGAUUUUGUUGAACUGGUGGUCAAAAACAUAAAGACAGAGAGGUAAAAACAAAUCCUCUUUUACAACCCAGAGUUCAUUGCUCAGUUUGAGUUUUGAACCAUGUGGGAAGGAAUGUG